GACGAACGCUGGCGGCGUGCUUAACACAUGCAAGUCGAACGGACAGGCCCUGCUUUUGUGGGGUGCUCGAGUGGCGAACGGGUGAGUAACACGUGAGUAACCUGCCCUUGACUUUGGGAUAACUUCAGGAAACUGGGGCUCAUACCGGAUAGGAGCUCCUGCUGCAUGGUGGGGGUUGGAAAGUUUCGGCGGUUGGGGAUGGACUCGCGGCUUAUCAGCUUGUUGGUGGGGUAGUGGCUUACCAAGGCUUUGACGGGUAGCCGGCCUGAGAGGGUGACCGGCCACAUUGGGACUGAGAUACGGCGCAGACUCCUACGGGAGGCAGCAGUGGGGAAUAUUGCACAAUGGGCGGAAGCCUGAUGCAGCAACGCCGCGUGCGGGAUGACGGCCUUCGGGUUGUAAACCGCUUUCGCCUGUGACGAAGCGUGAGUGACGGUAAUGGGUAAAGAAGCACCGGCUAACUACGUG
RNAcentral lists this ribosomal RNA (468 nucleotides) under uncultured bacterium. RNAcentral's name for it is "partial 16S ribosomal RNA". It matches the Rfam family "Bacterial small subunit ribosomal RNA", at positions 28 to 507 of the family's 1533-position model. The record is from RNAcentral.